CCUACGGGUGGCAGCAGUGAGGAAUAUUGGUCAAUGGACGCAAGCCUGAACCAGCCAUGCCGCGUGCGGGAAGACGGUACUGCGUAUCGUAAACUUCUUUUGUCCGGGGACAAAGGCGGGUACUCGUCUCCGGCUGAGGGUAUCUGACGAAAAAGCAUCGGCUAACUCCGUGCCAGCAGCCGCGGUAAUACGGAGGAUGCGAGCGUUAUCCGGAUUUAUUGGGUUUAAGGGGUGCGCAGGCGGCCGGUUAAGUUAGCGGGAAAAGCCCGGGGCUCAACCCCGGCGUGCCGUUGAAACUGGCGGGCUGGAGUGGAGGAGAGGUACGCGGAAUGCGCGGUGUAGCGGUGAAAUGCUUAGAGAUCGCGCAGAACCCCGAUUGCGAAGGCAGCUUACCGGGCCCACACUGACGCUGAGGCACGAAAGCGUGGGGAGCGAACAGGAUUAGAUACCCGGGUAGUC
This 459-nucleotide ribosomal RNA is filed under the name uncultured bacterium. RNAcentral's name for it is "partial 16S ribosomal RNA". It matches the Rfam family "Bacterial small subunit ribosomal RNA", at positions 338 to 795 of the family's 1533-position model. The record is from RNAcentral.